Molecule: ribosomal RNA, 506 nt
Filed under: uncultured bacterium
Lineage: Bacteria
Description: partial 16S ribosomal RNA
Rfam family: Bacterial small subunit ribosomal RNA
Source: RNAcentral
AGUGAACGCUGGCGGUAGGCCUAACACAUGCAAGUCGAACGGCAGCACAGGAGAGCUUGCUCUCUGGGUGGCGAGUGGCGGACGGGUGAGGAAUACAUCGGAAUCUACUUUUUCGUGGGGGAUAACGUAGGGAAACUUACGCUAAUACCGCAUACGACCUACGGGUGAAAGCAGGGGAUCUUCGGACCUUGCGCGAUUGAAUGAGCCGAUGUCGGAUUAGCUAGUUGGCGGGGUAAAGGCCCACCAAGGCGACGAUCCGUAGCUGGUCGGGGAGGGUGAUCAGCCACACUGGAACUGAGACACGGUCAAGACUCCUACGGGAGGCAGCAGUGGGGAAUAUUGGACAAUGGGCGCAAGCCUGAUCCAGCCAUACCGCGUGGGUGAAGAAGGCCUUCGGGUUGUAAAGCCCUUUUGUUGGGAAAGAAAUCCAGCUGGUUAAUACCCGGUUGGGAUGACGGUACCCAAAGAAUAAGCACCGGCUAACUUCGUGCCAGCAGCCGCCGUAA